CGGAGAGUAGAGGAGUUUGGCUUAUCUCGUCCGCUUUGGAAGCGGAAGCACCUCGGUUCGAAUCCGAGUUCUCCGACCA
Molecule: transfer RNA, 79 nt
Filed under: uncultured archaeon
Lineage: Archaea
Description: tRNA-Pro(tgg)
Rfam family: tRNA
About the family: Transfer RNA (tRNA) molecules are approximately 80 nucleotides in length.
Source: RNAcentral